UACGUAGGGUGCGAGCGUUAAUCGGAAUUACUGGGCGUAAAGCGUGCGCAGGCGGUUGGCAAAGUCAGCUGUGAAAGCCCCGGGCUCAACCUGGGAAUUGCGGUUGAAACUAGUCGACUAGAAUCUGGCAGAGGGGGGUGGAAUUCCACGGUGUAGCAGUGGAAAUGCGUAGAGAAUGUGGAGGAACACCGAUGGCGAAGGGACAGCCCCCUGG
RNAcentral lists this ribosomal RNA (214 nucleotides) under uncultured bacterium. Its description in RNAcentral is "partial 16S ribosomal RNA". It matches the Rfam family "Bacterial small subunit ribosomal RNA", at positions 524 to 732 of the family's 1533-position model. The record is from RNAcentral.